Molecule: ribosomal RNA, 1449 nt
Filed under: uncultured bacterium
Lineage: Bacteria
Description: bacterial SSU rRNA
Rfam family: Bacterial small subunit ribosomal RNA
Source: RNAcentral
AGGGUUUGAUCAUGGCUCAGGAUGAACGCUGGCGGCGUGCUUAACACAUGCAAGUCGAACGAACCUUCGGGUUAGUGGCGGACGGGUGAGUAACGCGUGAGAAUCUGCCCUCAGGAGGGGGAUAACGGUUGGAAACGACCGCUAAUACCCCAUAUGCCUAUUGGUGAAACGAAUUUCGCCUGAGGAUGAGCUCGCGUCUGAUUAGCUAGUUGGUGAGGUAAUGGCUCACCAAGGCUUCGAUCAGUAGCUGGUCUGAGAGGAUGAUCAGCCACACUGGGACUGAGACACGGCCCAGACUCCUACGGGAGGCAGCAGUGGGGAAUUUUCCGCAAUGGGCGAAAGCCUGACGGAGCAACGCCGCGUGAGGGACGAAGGCCUCUGGGCUGUAAACCUCUUUUCUCAAGGAAGAAGAUAUGACGGUACUUGAGGAAUAAGCCACGGCUAAUUCCGUGCCAGCAGCCGCGGUAAUACGGGAGUGGCAAGCGUUAUCCGGAAUUAUUGGGCGUAAAGCGUCCGCAGGCGGCUUUUCAAGUCUGCUGUUAAAGCGUGGAGCUUAACUCCAUCAUGGCAGUGGAAACUGAGAGGCUUGAGUAUGGUAGGGGCAGAGGGAAUUCCCGGUGUAGCGGUGAAAUGCGUAGAUAUCGGGAAGAACACCAGUGGCGAAGGCGCUCUGCUGGGCCAUUACUGACGCUCAUGGACGAAAGCCAGGGGAGCGAAAGGGAUUAGAUACCCCUGUAGUCCUGGCCGUAAACGAUGAACACUAGGUGUCGGGGGAAUCGACCCCUUCGGUGUCGUAGCUAACGCGUUAAGUGUUCCGCCUGGGGAGUACGCACGCAAGUGUGAAACUCAAAGGAAUUGACGGGGGCCCGCACAAGCGGUGGAGUAUGUGGUUUAAUUCGAUGCAACGCGAAGAACCUUACCAGGGUUUGACAUCCUGCGAACCUCUUAGAAAUUUGAGGGUGCCUUCGGGAAUGCAGUGACAGGUGGUGCAUGGCUGUCGUCAGCUCGUGUCGUGAGAUGUUGGGUUAAGUCCCGCAACGAGCGCAACCCACGUUUUUAGUUGCCAGCAUUUAGUUGGGCACUCUAGAAAGACCGCCGGUGAUAAACCGGAGGAAGGUGUGGAUGACGUCAAGUCAUCAUGCCCCUUACACCCUGGGCUACACACGUACUACAAUGCUACGGACAAAGGGCAGCAAACUCGCGAGAGCUAGCAAAUCCCAUAAACCGUGGCUCAGUUCAGAUCGUAGGCUGCAACUCGCCUACGUGAAGUAGGAAUCGCUAGUAAUCGCAGGUCAGCAUACUGCGGUGAAUACGUUCCCGGGCCUUGUACACACCGCCCGUCACACCAUGGAAGUUGGCCAUGCCCGAAGUCGUUACUCCAACCCUUGUGGAGGAGGACGCCGAAGGUGGGGCUAAUGACUGGGGUGAAGUCAUAACAAGGUAACCGUA